UACGGGGGGGGUAAGCGUUGUUCGGAAUUACUGGGCGUAAAGAGCGUGUAGGCGGCCAGACAAGUCUGCUGUGAAAACUCGAGGCUCAACCUCGAGCUGUCGGUGGAAACUGUCUGGCUAGAGUCCGGAAGAGGAGAGUGGAAUUCCUGGUGUAGCGGUGAAAUGCGCAGAUAUCAGGAAGAACACCUAUGGCGAAGGCAGCUCUCUGGGACGGUACUGACGCUGAGACGCGAAAGCGUGGGGAGCGAACAGG
Molecule: ribosomal RNA, 253 nt
Filed under: uncultured bacterium
Lineage: Bacteria
Description: partial 16S ribosomal RNA
Rfam family: Bacterial small subunit ribosomal RNA
Source: RNAcentral